AGAAAGUUCGUCUAACUAAGACAUCUGAUUUCGACUCAGCAAAUCAUAGCCCUCACCUAUGACUUUCUU
Molecule: transfer RNA, 69 nt
Filed under: Trogon personatus
Lineage: Eukaryota; Metazoa; Chordata; Aves; Trogoniformes; Trogonidae
Description: tRNA-Arg
Source: RNAcentral